Molecule: ribosomal RNA, 465 nt
Filed under: Vreelandella stevensii
Lineage: Bacteria; Pseudomonadati; Pseudomonadota; Gammaproteobacteria; Oceanospirillales; Halomonadaceae
Description: partial 16S ribosomal RNA
Rfam family: Bacterial small subunit ribosomal RNA
Source: RNAcentral
CCUACGGGUGGCUGCAGUGGGGAAUAUUGGACAAUGGGCGAAAGCCUGAUCCAGCCAUGCCGCGUGUGUGAAGAAGGCCUUCGGGUUGUAAAGCACUUUCAGUGGGGAAGAAAGCCUUGGGGCUAAUACCCUCGAGGAAGUACAUCACCCACAGAAGAAGCACCGGCUAACUCCGUGCCAGCAGCCGCGGUAAUACGGAGGGUGCGAGCGUUAAUCGGAAUUACUGGGCGUAAAGCGCGCGUAGGCGGUCUGAUAAGCCGGUUGUGAAAGCCCCGGGCUCAACCUGGGAACGGCAUCCGGAACUGUCAGGCUAGAGUGCAGGAGAGGAAGGUAGAAUUCCCGGUGUAGCGGUGAAAUGCGUAGAGAUCGGGAGGAAUACCAGUGGCGAAGGCGGCCUUCUGGACUGACACUGACGCUGAGGUGCGAAAGCGUGGGUAGCAAACAGGAUUAGAUACCCCAGUAGUC